This 425-nucleotide ribosomal RNA is filed under the name uncultured bacterium. RNAcentral's name for it is "partial 16S ribosomal RNA". It matches the Rfam family "Bacterial small subunit ribosomal RNA", at positions 354 to 796 of the family's 1533-position model. The record is from RNAcentral.
GUGGGGAAUCUUGCGCAAUGGGCGAAAGCCUGACGCAGCCAUGCCGCGUGAAUGAUGAAGGUCUUAGGAUUGUAAAAUUCUUUCACCGGGGACGAUAAUGACGGUACCCGGAGAAGAAGCUCCGGCUAACUUCGUGUCAGCAGCCGCGGUAAUACGAAGGGGGCUAGCGUUGCUCGGAAUUACUGGGCGUAAAGGGCGCGUAGGCGGACAGCUUAGUCAGAGGUGAAAGCCCAGGGCUCAACCUUGGAAUUGCCUUUGAUACUGGCUGUCUUGAGUUUGGGAGAGGUGAGUGGAACUCCGGGUGUAGAGGUGAAAUUCGUAGAUAUUCGGAAGAACACCAGUGGCGAAGGCGACUCACUGGCCCAAUACUGACGCUGAGGCGCGAAAGCGUGGGGAGCAAACAGGAUUAGAAACCCCGGUAGUCC